CCCCGCUGGCCCCCAGAAUAAAGACAGAUUUAUUCUGCAUCCUGAAGUCUUCCCGAAGCUUCGGCAGCGCCCCAGUCUCAGCCAUGCUACAGAAAUAACAUCGACAGAUCGGAAGAGCCACGCUCUGUGAACUAUAGAGUAUCACACAGAUAAUUAGGGAUUUCCAUUAUUAUCAACAUCAUUAUGGAGCAGAUUUGAGAGGUUCGAAAUAUGAUCCUUGCUUCAGUUUCCAGAAGUCUAGAGCCUUGUGUUGAUGAGGAAGGAACUCCAAAACUAUUUUUUGAGCAUUUGAUCUUUUACUAUAUUCCCCAGACACUAUGGUAGCUGCCGAGGAUACAGCAGUGAACAAGAUAUUGUAUUCGGUGUCCUCACGGAAUUUACAAUCCAGCAGGCUGAGGGCUGAGAGCCAUGUGGUGAUUAUAAUUUCC
Herpailurus yagouaroundi (jaguarundi) is the source of this 428-nucleotide long non-coding RNA. RefSeq lists it as uncharacterized. Lineage: Eukaryota; Metazoa; Chordata; Mammalia; Carnivora; Felidae. The record is from RefSeq and is a predicted model, not a curated record. The transcript is spliced from 3 exons.